This 253-nucleotide ribosomal RNA is filed under the name uncultured bacterium. Its description in RNAcentral is "partial 16S ribosomal RNA". It matches the Rfam family "Bacterial small subunit ribosomal RNA", at positions 524 to 776 of the family's 1533-position model. The record is from RNAcentral.
UACGAAGGGGGCUAGCGUUGCUCGGAAUCACUGGGCGUAAAGGGUGCGUAGGCGGGUCUUUAAGUCAGGGGUGAAAUCCUGGAGCUCAACUCCAGAACUGCCUUUGAUACUGAGGACCUUGAGUACGGGAGAGGUGAGUGGAACUGCGAGUGUAGAGGUGAAAUUCGUAGAUAUUCGCAAGAACACCAGUGGCGAAGGCGGCUCACUGGCCCGUAACUGACGCUGAGGCACGAAAGCGUGGGGAGCAAACAGG